GAACUUGUCUCAGUAGCAAACUAGCAGCCAGUGCAGGUCCUUAAGCACUAGUGCAAUGUGUUCAUGGCUAGACGUAUCACUCAGUAUUUCAGUUGCAGCAUCCUGCACUAGCUGCAGCUUCUGAACGAAGCGCAAGGGCAGCCCCACUUGGAGAAUGUCACAGCAAUCUCAACGUGAGACCACCGUGUACAUAUCUACCUAUAUGUACUUCAGUACUAUGGAGAAUUACAAGACUUCAGCUAUUUUCACAACUUAAUAUUGAUUUUUUUUUUUAAUGACAGAACGUUUUCUGUGGUUCCUUUCCCCCAUAAAGUUUGACAGCAAGAAGAAAAGCUUAAUAUUCAUAUAAAAAUGAACUAGAUUUUACUGGUGCUUCAUUGAUAGGCAAUAGUAUAUAAUUUGUGGAGGGACCAAGAACUCAGCAGGGAUGGGAAAUGAUUGUGCAUGAUAAACAUGGAUAUGUCUGUUUUGUGUAAUGAAUGUAUUCAGUCUGAUUGCUGUAAAUGCCACGGCAAACAGAUUUAAUCUUCCAAAAGGUUAACAGAGAGGGGGAAAAAAUAAUUAUUAUCCUAAAAAUACACAGAGAUAAUUUUUGAGUAGGUUGAAAGCCCAGGGAUGUAGACAAGGUGCUUGCAGGGGCUCAUAUGACCACAGUGCCCUCUCAGUCUUUGUCCAUUGUGACAAGGGUUUCUUUUACUAGGUGGGUCCAGAGUCUAGUAAUUGCAUCAUUGCAAGAGGGAACAUUGUCUGUCACCUUUAAAGAGGCAGUAAUAUAACCACUCUUGGAAAAUAACUCAGGGUCCAAAGGUUUUGGGUAACCUCCUGUUUGCAAAUACUGUUCUUCGUUGCAAGGUGCUUGAGGAGAUUGUGGCAGCUCAGCCACGGACACUCUUGCGAUGGGUGGGCCUGAUUAUCUUUACCCUUCCAAUCUGGAUCAGACCAGGAUCUGGGACUGACCUGGGCUUAGCUCAGAUGGAUUGCCUUAAUUACCUUAAACAGGAGUGAGAAAGGGUGGUGUGGCCCUGCCAUUCUUACUUGAUCUCUUGGCGGCUUUCAGCCAUGGUAUCUUCUGUGAGCCAGAACGGGAGGACAUUCUUUUUUAGUGAUGCUCCUAUGAGCUGAAAGGGUUUCUAUAUCAUCAUCAUCCAAAAGGAAUGUUAGGCUGAGUGCUGAGACUAUCACUUUACCAGUGUGUAAACUGUGGGGAAGGGAAGGGUUUUGAGAUACACUUACUAUUUGGGGCAACCCAACCCCUCUUCUCCCCCACCCUAUUAAAUGUCUAUCAUUUGUACUGGCAGAAAACAGGGCAAGGGAGGUCAACAUGCUUGUAACUAAAAGAAAAUGCCCCAUCUGAAAGAGCCAUUUGAGUGGGGGAGAAUUAAUGACAGAAGCAGGGCUAUCAGCCAUAAAAAUUAUUCUAAGCCUUGAAAAUUAUUUUUAAAACCAUUAAAUUGCAUAUGAAAUACUUAUUAAGGGUAACAAUUACUUUUAAAAGAUCUGCAUUUUUGGUACAAUGACAGUCGUUAGAAGCAUUCCAAUUUGCAUCGUUAUUAUUUGUUAAAAGAGGCUACAGUUUUCAUGAAUUCUCCGCUGCAAGCAGCAUGUAGAGUUUUGACACUUGCAAUAAAAUAAUAGAUGUUGGCAAUAGAGUAACAACAGAAACUGGAACUAGGCCUAAGCAAUUAGAGCCUGUCAGUAAUUGGGACUGAAUAAUCAAUCUAGACACUAAGAGAAUGUACACAGUUAGCAACAGUCUUGCAUUGACUGUGAGAUGGAUUGGCUGAAUUGCGAGGCCUUUUCUACUGCACUGUCUAUGGUUUCCUGACAGUCUAAUCUAUGAGCAAUUUAUUUCUCAGAUUUAAACAUCAAAUAUCAAUAUGUUAUGUUAUUUUCUUUCUUUCUUUCUUUCUUUCUUUCUUUCUUUCUUUCUUUCUUUCUUUCUUUCUUUCUCCUCUCUUCUUCUGUUUCCUAAAUAGACUUGAACAAGCUGGAGGUCUUGUUACUGAAAGGGAUAAAUGUUCAGGGAAGAACCUGAAAGAACUCGUAAGGAUCAGUGCCCACAAAAUCAGCAAAAUCAGUUGGCAGACUUCUUCUGGAACUAUCAUCAGUUCAGAUUGCAAGUAGAGGAGUUGCACAUUUUAAUGUGGCCUCAUCUUGUUUAAAAAAGGCCCUGUACCUAGAAAAAGGUACAGAGAGCAGUAGGUGAGGACCUCCUUCCUAAUCUGCUAGUUAUCUACAUACAAAGCAUUCAAAAGUGCAAUCAGCUCCCUGCAGUCUGAAAUGGCAUAGCCAAAAAAUGUUGCUACCAUGUAAAUUUGCAGAAAUCGUUUCUUGUACUACACGUGCCAGGUACAAUUGCUGUCCAGUAAGGCAUAUUUGUUGUUAAGCUCCAAAGUGACCUCCAGAUUUUUUACUCACCAUCAACAAAUAACAUUUUGAAAAUCUGGAGGAAUGUGUUUUGUCCUUCUGGCCUGUCUACUUUCUAUGAGCAAAUUAAUAAUGACUGCUUACUGAUAGAGUUUGGUAAAGCUCUGCUUUGGGUGAACACUAAAUAGUGCAGAAUCUUUGCUGCAUUGUCCAAACAUAUCAAUUCCCAAAUCACAGGGCCAGAUCUUCCAUGAUCCUCCAAAAAUGGCAUUUAGGGAUUGUAAUCAGGAGAUAAACUAGCUUUGUACCUCUCCUUUUAUUGUGAAGCAGGUUUCAUAUCCAGGUCCUAGACAAAGUUUAAUUAAGGGGUAACUGGAUUUCAGUACUUUUGGAAGAAAUUUAGAUGCAGCAGUAUGGAGUAGCCCAGUGAUGUAUUUUUUUAAAGCUUUCUAGGUUUCCACAUUGCCAUUCCUUCAUUAAUGCCAAGGAAUUCUGCAUAUCAUUUGCCAGGGAGACCUGGCAUUUUGCAGAGGUUUUGAGGUCAUGUUUUAGGCAGAGUAAUAGUGGGGACCUUUUCUCAGCCAAGAAACCUCUUCCAGGGGCCAUAUGCCAGUGGUGCAUGGGGCCAGAGGCAAAUGUAGCAGAGCAAAAGGUUCUUUGAUUCUUAUCACUUGAAUCACAGGCACUGAGGUCUCAAUGUGCCCCUCCCCCCUUGUAGAACACAGGCCCCUGUGACUGUGCAGUUCAAUGGGAUAGUGAUGGACAAGUUGUCUUCCGGGGAAGCUUGUCAAACAUUUCUGAUCUCCUGAUUGACAAGGCCCUAGUAAACUUCCACAUAACCCCACGGUUCCCCAGAACACAGUUUGAAAACCACAGGGUUAGCUGAAUAUUUCUGAAAAUACUGUAGAAAAGAAGCUCAGUAUUGACAAGAAAAGUACAGCUUCCAAAAUGGGCCGACAACAGACACUGUAAAUGGCUGUCAUUUCCAGCAGCAGUUUUUGGCACUGGCUCUGAAAAGGAACAUUUCCAAUUACUAAGAAUGGCGUUGGGUUGUUGUGCUGGAGAUUGCAGCCGGGGAGGGGAGGAAAGGGGACUGCAGGAAGAAAGUCCACUUUGUUGGGAGUUUAUAGAUGCCAGACAGCCACAUGAAAGUAAAUCUGUUUGGGCCUAGAGGCAUAUACAACCUUAGCAUUCUGCUCAGUCACUAGAUAUGUCAGUCUUUCAGUCUGAGUGCUUUUAAAAUGCCUGGCACUCCUGGCUUCUGUUUGACUUUAGACAUCACAACUGAACACUUUAAGAAAGAACAGAGAGGGAGGUUAAAAAUAAACAAGCGUGGUAGAGUGUCUGUCUUUAGGGUCUCUGUCCUUUCAGCACUUUGCAGAUUUUGAUAGAGUCAUUUUCCAGUAAAAAGUUGAAGCUUCAAUAGUCUACCAUGUAACUGACCAAACCAAAGGCUCCAUUAUCAGGAAAGUGGUAGGACGUAAUAGUCUCUGUGCUAGGUUACAGCAAGUGUUUUUUUGUAGGAACUGCUAUUAGGGAAACUGUUUAAAUGAUGAAGGGUGCUAACAUUCUUAUUUAUUCAUUUUAUAAAUAAAAGCAUUUAUAUCCUGCCUUAUCAUAAAAUAUCAAGGUGAUGUUCAGCAAUAUAAAAACAUAUUUUCAUUAAAAAAGCAAUACAGAAAUAUAAUUAAUUAUAUAAAAAUAAUAAAUGCCAUGAUCAAUGGUAUCCUGCACUUCUGAGAGGAUUUAGGAGAUUAAGGGAGUAGCACCUCCCACUUUCUGUCUCCCAUAAAAGCUAUUGAAUUGAGGAGAAAUGUUGAGGCUGGAGGAAGGGGGGGCAGGUCAGAAAAGGGGACUGGGGAGUAUGUUUAGGAAAAACAUAAUCAAUCCUUCUACCAGUCAGUGCUUUUCAUUAUCCUUGAAGCUUUCUUCUGAAUCUGUUCCAGAUUGUUGGCAUCAUUCUUUAAAAUUAUUAGGCGAGCAACCUUUUAUUAAGUGCUCUCUUCAUUUAAGUUUCCUCCUUUUUCUGAUGAGAAUUAUCUCUGCUCUGCUCUGUUCAUCAUCUUAAGUCUAUUAUUACAGGAGAAAUUGCUGAAGCUAUUAAUACAUACAGAGGGAAAGAAAAAUUAGAUUUUGAUAUCAUCUGUUUUACACAUACACACAGAACCAACCCUACAGUGUUUUGAGAAAGAGUCUAUUCAAAGCUAAGAUGGGAAAUAUGUCUGUCUGAAGCUAGGAAGUAACAGAUACGUCGCUAUGAAAAAUUAGGCAAAGUCACGUUGUCUUCAUUUUCCUGCUGUCUUUUGAUAAUAACUAGAUUAUGUCAAAUUUAGUAGAGAAGCAGAGAUCCAUUUGAAACUAGAGAGUCCUCCCCAUCAGCCGUGUCCAUUGCUUCAAAUGCAGUAAUUCCAUUACUCCUGACCUCUGGUGCAUUGACUUUUCAGCUACUCUGAGGGAUUAUCCACUUUCAUCUGUACUAUAGAACUCAAGGCAGAAACAGUUUGUAUACAAAACAAUAUCUUCAGGUAGGAGAGGUAAAGUGAGUGGUGUCUUUUAAAUGAAUUGCAGAGGUUCUGUGUAAAGUGAUGCACACAGGCACAAAAAUAAAUUCCAGCUACACAUCUAGCACAGAUGAGAUCUGAAUAGGCUGGGGCUUUACAGGUGUGAGAUCUUUGGGUCUUGGUGGAAAUGAAAACACCAAUUCAGUGAAUGGUGUGCUUGAGAUUGUUAGAAAGGGUAUUGAAAUAAAAUUAGGGAAGGACUAAAGAUCAAUAGGAGAGCACAGGUGUUCCCAGGUUCAAUCCCUGGCAUCUCCAGGUAGGACUGGGAGAUGCCCAAGAUUCUGGAAAGCUUCUGUCAGUCAAUACCAACAAUACUGAGCUAGAUGGACCAAUAGUUUGACUCAUUGUAAGGCUGCUCCCUAUGUUGCUGAAGAUAAAAUAUCAAGCACCACCAUGGCUUUAUCCUAUAUACUCAUGGUGAAACAAAUUCAGUUAAGUGUGGGUCCAUAUGUAGCUAAAAUGGCACCACCCUUGCACAAAAGGGAGGCAUCAGGACUCGAGGAACCUCAAAAUUUGCAGAAUUACCCCCCCCCCCCAAUAAUAAUACUUGGGACCAAAAACAAGCACAACUCAGUGACCAUUGAAUGCUGACUGAAAGUUGUGGAGAGGGAUAGAUGAGAAAUUGUAGGCAAAAUGGAAUGGAAUACUCUGAAAGAAGGCAUGGCUGCCUAGAACUGUGAGCAAAGCAUUCCACACUGCAUUCCACACGUUCUCUUAUAUAAAUCUAUCUUCCACCCACCUUUUGAAUGCAGGGCCAAUCUCAUAAAGUACUGAGGAACAAUAAUGGUGCCCUUAAUAAGGGUGUGUUUUUUCCAAGCUUUCUGGUUUAGGGUGAUUAAAAAAUAAUGAUUUGAGAAAACAUGAUUGGCUUCUACAAAAUACUAAAAUUAUAAAAUUGUGGAAGAAACGAAUGUGGGGGGAAAAUUACCCCUCUCUCGUCAUUCUGGAUCUCAGGGUUACCUAGUGAAAGUGAUUGGCGGUAGAUUCAGUACAAAGGAAAGCACUUGAGCUUGGAAGCUGUAUUCCAGCAGUGAAAGGGGGCAAGAGGUUGACAUUUGGAAAGGUUUCCCAUUUUGUUCCUGAAAUGGGUGCCUCUGUCUCUGAGUGGGGUGUCACUUAUGGAACAGAAAGCACAGAGAUUAACGGAGAGGUGAGUUGGCCCUGAACCCCUUGCUGUGUGCUGCAUUGCAUGUUUGAAGACGCGCACUUCUCCAGUGGAAUGCCAGCCUGCAAAGGGUUGACUCAUAAAAUCGUCCAUUUGCUGGUAGUGUGUACCUAUCGCGGCUAUGACAGAUCGCUUUGCUGUUCCUAGGGAAAAGAUCAUAAAAUAAAAAAGGACAACCUUCAGGGUAGCCUUAAGCCAAGUUAUUUAUUUAUUUUUUAUUAUUAACACUAAAAGCUUUACUUCUACCCCUUAAUAGACGGCUGUGUUUGAUGAAGCUUUCCGGGCUCUACAAAACGGUCAGGUGUCAGAGAUAUAUGGGCAGCUGGUGUUUGUUUAGUAAAUGAUGUUCCUGUUAUUGUAGUAGAAGACAGGCCUCGGUAGACUAUAAAUAUACUCUGUUCCCAUGCAUUAUGCCACAGUCCAAAGGCAUAUUUCAGGCUGUGGUUGUUUACUUUCUAAUCGGUUUCCAUUUCAUUAGGGUGCCCCCCGCACAACUAAAUUCUUUCCAUAUCGCAGAGUUUGCUGAAAGGUGAGCAGAUUACCUCAUUCAAGCCUGAAAGGAGAAUUAUGGACUGGCGAUAAAACAGAGAUAAACAUAUGUCGUGAUCGCUGUUAAAAUUCGCCAUCCAUUUGCGAGGAGCUGCUUCUACUGUUUAAAAGGCUGUGAAUGCCAUUUAUGGAGCUAAUCAGGAAACCAUAAAACUGGAGGUUUUUAAGU
Non-coding RNA from Podarcis lilfordi (Lilford's wall lizard), 6811 nucleotides. NCBI's taxonomy places the organism in Eukaryota, Metazoa, Chordata, Lepidosauria, Squamata, Lacertidae. The record is from the annotation of a GenBank genome assembly.